GACGAACGCUGGCGGCGUGCCUAAUACAUGCAAGUUGAGCGCUGAAGGUUGGUACUUGUACCGACUGGAUGAGCAGCGAACGGGUGAGUAACGCGUGGGGAAUCUGCCUUUGAGCGGGGGACAACAUUUGGAAACGAAUGCUAAUACCGCAUAAAAACUUUAAACACAAGUUUUAAGUUUGAAAGAUGCAAUUGCAUCACUCAAAGAUGAUCCCGCGUUGUAUUAGCUAGUUGGUGAGGUAAAGGCUCACCAAGGCGAUGAUACAUAGCCGACCUGAGAGGGUGAUCGGCCACAUUGGGACUGAGACACGGCCCAAACUCCUACGGGAGGCAGCAGUAGGGAAUCUUCGGCAAUGGACGAAAGUCUGACCGAGCAACGCCGCGUGAGGGAAGAAGGUUUUCGGAUCGUAAAACUCUGUUGGUAGGGAAGAACGUUGGUGAGAGUGGAAAGCUCAUCAAGUGACGGUAACUACCCAGAAAGGGACGGCUAACUACGUG
RNAcentral lists this ribosomal RNA (497 nucleotides) under uncultured bacterium. RNAcentral describes it as "partial 16S ribosomal RNA". It matches the Rfam family "Bacterial small subunit ribosomal RNA", at positions 28 to 507 of the family's 1533-position model. The record is from RNAcentral.